GCCCUUAGAGUUUGAUCCUGGCUCAGGACGACCGCUGGCGGCGUGCUUAACACAUGCAAGUCGAGCGGGGAUCGAGGGCUUCGGCUCUUGAUUCUAGCGGCGGACGGGUGAGUAACGCGUGAACAAUCUGUCCCAGACAGGGGGAUAACACUUGGAAACAGGUGCUAAUACCGCAUAAGACCACGGAGUCACAUGGCUCAGGGGUAAAAGAUUUAUCGGUCUGGGGUGAGUUCGCGUCCGAUUAGCUAGUUGGUGAGGUAACGGCCCACCAAGGCGACGAUCGGUAGCCGACCUGAGAGGGUGAUCGGCCACAUUGGAACUGAGACACGGUCCAAACUCCUACGGGAGGCAGCAGUGGGGGAUAUUGGGCAAUGGGCGAAAGCCUGACCCAGCAACGCCGCGUGAGUGAAGAAGGCCUUCGGGUUGUAAAGCUCUGUCCUCAAGGACGAAGGAAGUGACGGUACUUGAGGAGGAAGCCCCGGCUAACUACGUGCCAGCAGCCGCGGUAAUACGUAGGGGGCAAGCGUUGUCCGGAAUGACUGGGCGUAAAGGGCGUGUAGGCGGCCGAUUAAGUCUGAAGUGAAAGUCCUGCUUUCAAGGUGGGAAUUGCUUUGGAGACUGGUUGGCUUGAGUGCGGAAGAGGUAAGUGGAAUUCCCAGUGUAGCGGUGAAAUGCGUAGAGAUUGGGAGGAACACCAGUGGCGAAGGCGACUUACUGGGCCGUAACUGACGCUGAGGCGCGAAAGCGUGGGGAGCGAACAGGAUUAGAUACCCUGGUAGUCCACGCUGUAAACGAUGAAUGCU
This 803-nucleotide ribosomal RNA is filed under the name uncultured bacterium. RNAcentral describes it as "bacterial SSU rRNA". It matches the Rfam family "Bacterial small subunit ribosomal RNA", at positions 1 to 817 of the family's 1533-position model. The record is from RNAcentral.